UCCGACUAGUUCCGGGUUCGAGUCCCGGGCAACCC
RNAcentral lists this transfer RNA (35 nucleotides) under Aristolochia lutea. RNAcentral describes it as "partial tRNA-Lys". The record is from RNAcentral. Lineage: Eukaryota; Viridiplantae; Streptophyta; Magnoliopsida; Piperales; Aristolochiaceae. RNAcentral also lists the same sequence under 5 other names.